GAGACGAGGUCUCUUGCUGUGUUGCCCAAGCUGGUCUCCAACUCCUGGGCUCAAGUGAUCCUCUCGCCUCGGCCUCCCAAAGCGCUAGGAUUACAGGCGUGAGCCACCGUGCCCGGCCAACAUUUUUCUUUCCUUCUUCCAGUUUUGUAUUUACUUUUUUUUUUUUUUUUUUUUUUUUGAGACAGAGUCUCGCUCUGUUGCCCAGGCUGGCUGGAGUGGUACAAGUGGCACGAUCUCAGCUCACUGCACCCUCUCCGCCUCCUGGGUUCAAGCGAUUCUCCUGCCUCAGCCUCCCGAGUAGCUGGGAUUACAGACACACACCACCAUGCCCGGCUAAUUUUUGUAUUUUUAGUAGAGACAGGAUUUUGCCACGUUGGUCAAGCUGGUCUCGAACUCCUGACCUCAGGUGAUCCGCCCACCUCGGCCUCCCAAAGCGCUGGGAUUACAGGCGUGAGCCACCGCGCCUGGCGUGUAUUUACCCUUCUAUUACACAUAUCCCGGGGGUGCUGAGGUCUGGGAAGGCUUGGACAUAAGGGUCUUAAGACAGCAAAAUGGCAACAUUAUAAUUGGAGGAAAGGUCCAUGUCAGGAUGGUGGCCCUGAACAUCAGAGUCUCUUGUUUCCUCCUGGGGACAUGUACAGAGGCUGUCACGAGACUCUCCUAAAAGCAUUCAUGAAAAGCCUUUUUCUUUCUUUUUUUUUUUUUUUUUUUUUUUUUUUUUGAGACGGAGUCUUGCUCUGUCACCCAGGCUGGAGUGCAGGGGUGCCAUCUCGGCUCAGUGCAACCUCCGCCUCCCGGGUUCAAGCAAUUCUCAUGCCUCAGCCUCUGGAGCAGGUGGAAUUACAGGCACGCGCCACGACGCCUGGCUAAUUUUUGUGUUUUUCGUAGAGACGGGGGUUUCACCAUGUUGCCCAGGUUGGUCUCGAACUCCUGACCUCAAGUGAUCCGCUCGCCUCGCCCUCUCAAAGUGCUGGGAUUACAGGCGUGAGCCACCGCGCGCGGCCCAUGAAAAGCCUUUCUACCUGGCUUUUCUGACCAGUCUUGCGUGGUCUCCCAAGGCCGUUAGCGAGGACCCAAAGUCUCCUGUUCUUGAGGGCCUUGUAUACAGUCCGGUCUUCACUGUCAUGCAUGACACGCCUGCUUCUCUGGGAGUGGGAUGACUCCGUUCUAGUCCUUCCAGAAGACCCUGCUGCCAACAAGCCCAGCAGCUGCCUGGGUGGGAUCAGCAGCUCCCGCGGACUCGAUCUCCCCCUGGGUGGGGAACUCAACCCCGACAGGUCCUUCCUCAACCUCUAAGCCGGAUACUUCCCUGGACCAGGAUUAAUUGCCCGUACGUAUUCUGUCGUUUCUGCCAGCGGUUAACAAGACCCUGGGAUAUUUUCCCCAGGGAAGAGAAAGCAGUUCUGGCUUUUUCUCUACACACCCCAAACUUGCAGGAAAAACGCGGCUUUGGCCUGGAGAAAGCCCGAGAUCGUGACGUUUUCACGACAGUACCGUGGAGAACAUAGACCAACAGUAUAAUUGGCUCGUUGCUAAAACAUUCUCCACGGGGGGAGGAAAGAAAGCAGCAGUCACCCCACGCCCCUGAAAGGGUGAAAACGAAAAGGAAAGCAAACCGAUCAGCAGCUCGCGUUCUGAACACCAGACAUGCGAACCCAGCAACUACCUAAUGACAACUGCUUUUCAACUUCCGUAAGCCAGGGGAAAGCGCGAACGCAGUCCCCCACUACCACAAAUUAUGCAGUCGAGUUUCCCACAUUUGGGGAAAUCGCAGGGGUCAGCACAUCCGGAGUGCAAUGGAUAAGCCUCGCCCUGGGAAAACCACCUUCGUGAUCAUGGUAUCUCCCCUGCCAGGUAAGUAUGAGUUGUGCCGCUGGCUUCCUCUCAUACCCUCUCGCCCACCACACUCUCAACACACGGUCACUUCUCUCGUGCGGCCCCAGCCCCCUCACCCUCUCCAGCCCCCUCGCUCCACCGUUGCCGCUAGGGGAAGACACCCCGACAGCACUCGGAUAUCGCGCGCGGGACAUGGGGUUCCAGGCCGAACGUGACCGGCAGCCUCCGCGCGCCGUGCUCAUCUGCAUACGCCACGCCCUCGCCGGGGUCGUCCCCGGCGCUCCGGUCUCUCCCGCUCCCGGACCGGGGACCUACCGACGGCGUGGGACAGGCCUGGGUGUCUCCGGGGCUGGUUGGGCGCAAGUGGGUGCGCGGCCGGGAGUCUGGGACCUGAAAGGGAGGCCUGAGAGGACGAGAGAGUGCCAGAGAGAGAGAGAGACAGUGACAGAGAGAAGAGAGAGACAGAAAGACAGUGACAGAGAGAAGAGAGAGACAGAAAGACAGUGACAGAGAGAAGAGAGAGAGAGAGACAGGAGAGAGGGGAGAGAGAAGACAGAGAGAGAGAGAGAGAGAGAGACAGUGACAGAGAGAAGAGAGAGAGAGAAGGAAGAAAAGAGGGGGAGAGAGAGCGAGCGAGCGAGCGAGCGAGCGAGCGAAAGAGAGUUUGCGGCCCCACCGCCCAGUCCCCGAGGGAUCUAGCGUCUGGGCCGGGCAGGGCUCGGGUUUGGGCUCACCUUCCUUUCAGCAAAAAGCAAGUUUCGGCCCCUUCUCUUCUCGCCAGCCCAACAGAAGUCUUCCCCACAGGGCACAACUAUUAUGAGUGACUACCUUGCACAACGGCAUGUGGCAGAAGUGAUGUCCAGGGUCUCCCGAGGCUGGGUCGGAGGCAUCCUUACAGCUCCCAUCUGGGUCUACCGGAAUCGUCUUGGAGGUUUGCGCCGCCAUGGAAGAAGGCUGACUACGCAGGCUGCCGUGUCGUGAGGAAGCCCGAGGCUUUGUGGAGAGAAAUGCAUGGAAACAGUUUCAGUCCCCAGCCGAGACCCUAGGCAUCAGGGAGCAGAACAUCAAAACUGCGGACUUGGGAUACAAAUGAAUGAUCACUGUUGUUGCAAAGCC
Pan troglodytes (chimpanzee) is the source of this 2952-nucleotide long non-coding RNA. RefSeq lists it as uncharacterized. NCBI's taxonomy places the organism in Eukaryota, Metazoa, Chordata, Mammalia, Primates, Hominidae. The transcript is spliced from 2 exons. The record is from RefSeq and is a predicted model, not a curated record.